This 570-nucleotide long non-coding RNA is filed under the name Danio rerio (zebrafish). Its description in RNAcentral is "lncRNA si:ch211-150f22.4 (ENSDARG00000097252.2)". Lineage: Eukaryota; Metazoa; Chordata; Actinopteri; Cypriniformes; Danionidae. The record is from RNAcentral.
GCACACUGAACUCCGUGGAGCACUAGUUGCACUUCUUCCCAACUCAGUUCGUUGUUUACAUUAAUAUAUAAUUAGUUAUUUUAAGUGAUCAUCCGAUUCCCUGCUUAAAAUGACUUUUUCCGGCAGUCUCGUGACCGCUGGCAAAAAUAAAAGUUUCUUCACAAGCAAUGAAACGAGCUUGAGCUUCACUAUAAAUGAAACGAUCGCUCUGUGAGUAACUAAUAACAAUGCUUCACAGAUCGAGUUAUGUAGUAAGAUACUAAAGUUUACAGCAGUAAUACUUAAUACUGCCGUUUAAAUCCACUCAUUGAGUUUACUCUUCAGGAUGAAACUAAAACAAGACAGGAAUGAGCCAAAAUGGAUUCUCAUGCUGAUUGCUGCAUUCCACAUGAUCGUCACAUCUCAACAUGUUGAAGAAAUGACUAUCCUGGACUCCACCGCCAACCGUUUAGCAUCUCUGCGGCUUCAUGGAAACUUCAGAUCCAGAGCUUCUGCCAUGUUUCUGUGCUCUACACUGAUCUGCAGGUGUCUGUAAGAGUUCCAGCGUUAAACAGCAGCUGUCAUGAAUUC